AUUGAACGCUGGCGGCGUGCCUAACACAUGCAAGUCGAGCGGUAACAGGUGUAGCAAUACAUGCUGACGAGCGGCGAACGGGUGAGUAAUGCUUCGGAAUCUACCCAAUGGUGGGGAAUAACCAGCCGAAAGGUUGGCUAAUACCGCAUACGUCCCACGGGAGAAAGCAGGGGAUCGCAAGACCUUGCGCCAAUGGAUGAGCCGAAGUCGGAUUAGCUAGUUGGAGGGUAACGGCCUACCAAGGCGACGAUCCGUAGCUGGUCUGAGAGGACGACCAGCCACACUGGGACUGAGACACGGCCCAGACUCCUACGGGAGGCAGCAGUGGGGAAUAUUGGACAAUGGGGGAAACCCUGAUCCAGCGACGCCGCGUGUGUGAAGAAGGCCUGCGGGUUGUAAAGCACUUUUUAGUGGGGA
Molecule: ribosomal RNA, 417 nt
Filed under: uncultured bacterium
Lineage: Bacteria
Description: bacterial SSU rRNA
Rfam family: Bacterial small subunit ribosomal RNA
Source: RNAcentral